AGGGAGCCACCCUGAAGAUCACCCUGGA
RNAcentral lists this non-coding RNA (28 nucleotides) under Cricetulus griseus (Chinese hamster). The record is from RNAcentral. Lineage: Eukaryota; Metazoa; Chordata; Mammalia; Rodentia; Cricetidae.